AUUUAUAUAGUUUAAAAAAAACAUUACAUUUUCAUUGUAAAAUUAAAUAAUUCUUUAUAAAUA
RNAcentral lists this transfer RNA (63 nucleotides) under Stenomorpha obovata. RNAcentral's name for it is "tRNA-Glu". Lineage: Eukaryota; Metazoa; Arthropoda; Insecta; Coleoptera; Tenebrionidae. The record is from RNAcentral.